RNAcentral lists this ribosomal RNA (253 nucleotides) under uncultured bacterium. Its description in RNAcentral is "partial 16S ribosomal RNA". It matches the Rfam family "Bacterial small subunit ribosomal RNA", at positions 524 to 776 of the family's 1533-position model. The record is from RNAcentral.
UACGUAGGGGGCAAGCGUUGUCCGGAUUUAUUGGGCGUAAAGCGUGUGUAGGCGGCUAGGUAAGUCGGAUGUGAAAGCCCCGGGCUCAACUCGGGAAGUGCACUCGAUACUGCUUAGCUAGAGUACCGGAGAGGUUGGUGGAAUUCUCGGUGUAGAGGUGAAAUUCGUAGAUAUCGAGAGGAACACCGGUGGCGAAGGCGGCCAACUGGACGAGUACUGACGCUGAGACACGAAAGCGUGGGGAGCAAACAGG